This 425-nucleotide ribosomal RNA is filed under the name uncultured bacterium. RNAcentral's name for it is "bacterial SSU rRNA". It matches the Rfam family "Bacterial small subunit ribosomal RNA", at positions 356 to 773 of the family's 1533-position model. The record is from RNAcentral.
GGGGAAUUUUGGACAAUGGGCGAAAGCCUGAUCCAGCAAUGCCGCGUGCAGGAAGAAGGCCUUCGGGUUGUAAACUGCUUUUGUACGGAACGAAACGGUCCUGGCUAAUACCUGGGGCUAAUGACGGUACCGUAAGAAUAAGCACCGGCUAACUACGUGCCAGCAGCCGCGGUAAUACGUAGGGUGCGAGCGUUAAUCGGAAUUACUGGGCGUAAAGCGUGCGCAGGCGGUGCUGUAAGACAGGCGUGAAAUCCCCGGGAUCAACCUGGGAAUUGCGCUUGUGACUGCAGUGCUGGAGUGCGGCAGAGGGGGAUGGAAUUCCGCGUGUAGCAGUGAAAUGCGUAGAUAUGCGGAGGAACACCGAUGGCGAAGGCAAUCCCCUGGGCCUGCACUGACGCUCACGCACGAAAGCGUGGGGAGCAAAC